This is a long non-coding RNA of Carassius carassius (crucian carp), 2811 nucleotides long. RefSeq lists it as uncharacterized. NCBI's taxonomy places the organism in Eukaryota, Metazoa, Chordata, Actinopteri, Cypriniformes, Cyprinidae. The record is from RefSeq and is a predicted model, not a curated record. The transcript has 2 exons.
ACAAUAUAGAUGCGAAUAUCAUGUGUCUGUUGUGACAGGUGUUGCAGUCCGAUUUAUUUCCACCCGCCGAGGCUUCCCUUUCCACAACUUAUCGUGGUGGUAUUCAGUUAAGUACAGUAUCUCAAUACAAGUUCCUAAUUUAUUGAAUCUUUUUCUGUCCUAUCUGAGGGAAUCCUGGCCUAAGUUUGCAUUUUCUUUCAGCUCUGUACAGACACAUCCCUGCAGUUGUCCCUUCAAGUUGAGCUUCAUGUAUAUUCCCUGCACAUGACGUUUUAGGUUGAUUUGCUACAGGAAUUUUGAGGAAAACUCUUUCCGAUCACUUUAUAUUGCAUGGCAAGAUUUGCAGUCUUGGGUAUGGAAGAAAACAACUGCUUUUUGAUAUUUUGUAAAUAAGACAAAACCGUGUAAUUAGUCAAUGUGUUAGUGAAAGCCUAACCAACGGUUGCCGGUGUCUAAAAAGACACAGUACCUGCUGUAGGAUAUUUAUGUCAGAUGCUCUUAGCAUGUUUCAGUGAAUCUCAUGCUCGUACUAAAAAAACGUCCGCUUCACAGAGAGGAACCCAUGACAGAGGCUGAGGUUUCUGUGGCAAAGUGUCGUUCAUUUUGUCUUUUCUCUUGGAGGUGGGUGUGCAUCUUUUUUGUUUCGUAGAGUUGGUUCAGUGCUUUGGCUUUACAUAUGCUAAUUCUAGCUGGGCUUGCAAUGGCACAAAUGCUAAACCAAGGCUUCGGUGUUUUUAAUUCAGUGACGUUUUGGGGACUAAUAAUCACAUUCAGGUGAUGAAUAUACAGUUGUUGUUUUCUUUCACGUGGUACUGUAUGUUGUACAGUUUAGGCACACCGCAGUUAUUUAAGCCAUUCUUAAGUGAUAGUGCUCGUAUUCUCUGUAAUAAAUAGAGACCAAUUGGAAUCACACAUCGAAAGGUCUGUUGUGUACGGUUUCGACAGACCUCUUCUGCUAAAAUACUGGCUUGAGAUGGUCAGUUAUAUGAACUUUACUGAACAAAAUUAUGGAGGCUGGGUUAUUUUUAUUUUAUAUAUACCUAAUUUUGUAUUUUUAAAGUUUUUUUUUUUUUUUUUUCGGGGUUAACCUGUGUUCUUGUCAUUUCAAGGCCCCUAAAAAGCAUUACAAGGGCUGAUUGCCUGUCACAGCGCAUUAAAAUAAAUGAAUUUCAACUUUUAAAGCAUAAAAUAUUUUUGCAGUGUGGCCGUUGGAUUUUAUUGUACAUGGAACUGUACUGUAGAGUUGUGUGAAGAUAUUUGUUUACAUUUGGUAAACUUUUAUUCCUUUUUGGUGACGCUAUCAAUCUACUACAGAUUUGCAGGUCAUUUCUCUUCGUAGUUGCUCUCAGAAUCAUGUCAUUGUUUCAUUUUCUUACUACGAUUGGAAAUUUCGGGAUACACCCUCCCUCAAAAAAAAAAAAAACGGUUAACUAUUGAGGAAAAUAAUAUUCCGUUCCCGUCGGGCUUGAAAAAGAAUGUUAAUCAUUUUGGAGAUUGUACAUUGUUUGAUUGUUUAGUAAAGACGGACGUGAAGCUUUAGGGUACUUCAAAUGUACAUGCGUGAAUAUUCUCAGUUUAAGGCUUAAGCUGGUGGUAUGAAUAUUAUUUUAAUGCCAGGAAAGGUACAAGUUGUGGAAAAGGUCUAUUUUUGUGACCCAUGUAAGGGCGACGGGAGAUUUUUCUUGUAGGUUUUAGUUUUUGUUACAUGUUUUGGUCAUCGGGUUCCCCUUCAAAAUUGACAGGACUUUUAAAAAGAGGUCCAGAAUUCAGCUGGUGGAGUUGGGAGUGCCUUUUACCUGUCACAGCGCAUUAAUAACACAACUAACCAAACACUCAUCCAUGACAUUUUAGUUUUUGCAUUUUAUAAUAAUUUCACGUUCGAUUUCUACCAGGUAUAGGGCAGUGAUUUUAAUUUGAUUUCAUUUUCUGUUAGGGAUCAACAGCUAGUUUUUUCAAAAAUGGACGUUUUAAUUGUCCUGCAUACAGUAGAUGUCUUGUGUUCAUGUCGAUGUUUAGAGAAAAUAAUAGGUCCAUACUGUAUCAUCAAUGAAUAUUGUACUAAUUCAUGUUUGAGGAAAUCCACUUCGAAAAGAUGUACAUUAUCAUAGGCAGCAUACGUGGGUAUGAGUUUAACAAUAUGUGUACAGUGAAAGGUGUAUCUUCUGAUAAUGCUGGAGAGGGCAGCAUGAAACUCACACAGAUGUAAUAGUCUCUCACAGUGUAUUCUCAACUUGCAAUCGUUUUAAAAACCGUUUGAUCGAUGUAAACCAUUCCUUGAGACCAAAUUUAGUAUAAUCAAUGUUUGUACUGAAAAUCUCACAGUUGUUUGUAUCUUCCCUCCUUUCCCCGAUACAAAUAUUCAUCUGCAGGUUCUCAUCAUGUGAAUUGUAUUUCAAACAAUGUGAUUUUAAGACACUGGCGGAGAAACUUUCCAUAAUAAAUAAGCAGUCUGUGCUGAGUGUGAACGGCUGCAGAUGGUGGGUUUGUAAUGGGGCAUUUUCUUUGCAUGUAUAACACAAGAUAUAAAUAUUUCCUGUAACUGGCACAUGGUACUGUGGUUUUGGAGUGGAGUAGAUGGGAUAGGAUACUACUGAAUCAAAAGAUUAUCGGUCUCAGAUUUGCAGCCUUCAGUGGUCAUUGUUCACGUUUUGAAUAACUUUUAUUUUUUUGCUCUAGAAAUGAAAACUGGGGAUGUUGUAGAACUGUUGGAUGCUGCCUUCAGGCUCAUUCACUUUUCUGUUAUUCAGAGGAAUAAUUAUAGUGAAGUCGAUGCUUGCUCAUGAACAAAAUAAAGGAUGAGAUGGGAAUAAA